This 253-nucleotide ribosomal RNA is filed under the name uncultured bacterium. Its description in RNAcentral is "partial 16S ribosomal RNA". It matches the Rfam family "Bacterial small subunit ribosomal RNA", at positions 524 to 776 of the family's 1533-position model. The record is from RNAcentral.
UACGGAGGGUGCAAGCGUUAAUCGGAAUUACUGGGCGUAAAGCGUGCGCAGGCGGAUAUGUAAGUUAGAAGUGAAAUCCCCGGGCUCAACCUGGGAACUGCUUUUAAGACUGCGUAUCUAGAGUUUGUCAGAGGGGGGUGGAAUUCCAAGUGUAGCAGUGAAAUGCGUAGAGAUUUGGAGGAACACCGAUGGCGAAGGCAGCCCCCUGGGAUAAAACUGACGCUCAUGCACGAAAGCGUGGGUAGCAAACAGG